AGAGUUUGAUCCUGGCUCAGAACGAACGCUGGCGGCGUACAUAACACAUGCAAGUCGAACGAGAAAUUCCGCUUCGGCGGGAGAGUAAAGUGGCGAACGGGUGAGUAACACAAGGGUAAUCUGCCCUUAAAUUAGGGAUAACCUUGCGAAAGCGAAGCUAAUACCUGAUAAGACUACGACCUCUUAGGGGGUUGUAGGAAAAGAUGGCCUCUGUUUCAAGCUAUCGUUUAAGGAUGAGCCCUUGCACUAUUAGCUUGUUGGUGGGGUAACGGCCUACCAAGGCUACGAUGGUUAGUUGGUCUGAGAGGAUGACCAGCCACACUGGAACUGAGACACGGUCCAGACUCCUACGGGAGGCAGCAGUGAGGAAUAUUGCGCAAUGGGGGAAACCCUGACGCAGCGACGCCGCGUGAGUGAGGAAGGCCUUCGGGUCGUAAAGCUCUGUCAGAAGGGAAGAAGUGUUAUACGGUUAAUACCCGUAUAAUUUGACGGUACCUUCAGAGGAAGCACCGGCUAACUCCGUGCCAGCAGCCGCGGUAAUACGGAGGGUGCGAGCGUUGUUCGGAAUUACUGGGCGUAAAGGGCGCGUAGGCGGCUUUAUAAGUCAGAUGUGAAAGCCCACGGCUUAACUGUGGAAGUGCAUUUGAAACUGUGAAGCUUGAGUAUCGGAGGGGAGUGUGGAAUUCCCGGUGUAGAGGUGAAAUUCGUAGAGAUCGGGAGGAACACCGGUGGCAAAGGCGACACUCUGGACGAAUACUGACGCUGAGGCGCGAAAGCGUGGGGAGCAAACAGGAUUAGAUACCCUGGUAGUCCACGCCGUAAACGAUGUGAACUAGAGGUAGGUGGUGUUGAUCCCAUCUGUCUCGCAGCUAACGCAUUAAGUUCACCGCCUGGGGAGUACGGUCGCAAGAUUAAACUCAAAGGAAUUGACGGGGGCCCGCACAAGCGGUGGAG
This 954-nucleotide ribosomal RNA is filed under the name uncultured delta proteobacterium. Its description in RNAcentral is "bacterial SSU rRNA". It matches the Rfam family "Bacterial small subunit ribosomal RNA", at positions 8 to 937 of the family's 1533-position model. Lineage: Bacteria; Deltaproteobacteria. The record is from RNAcentral.